GAUGAACGCUAGCGGCAGGCCUAAUACAUGCAAGCCGAACGGCAAGUUUGAUAGCAAUAUUGGACCUAGAGUGGCGCAAGGGUGCGUAACACGUAUGCAACCUGCCCGCGACAGGAGGAUAGCUCACCGAAAGGGGAAUUAACCCUCCAUAACACCAUGAGAAGGCAUCUGAUUAUGGUUAAACCGCAAGGGGUCGCGGAUGGGCAUGCGGUUGAUUAGCUAGUUGGCGGGGUAAAGGCCCACCAAGGCGGUGAUCAAUAGGGGUUCUGAGAGGAAGGUCCCCCACACUGGCACUGAGAUACGAGCCAGACUGCUACGGGAGGCAGCAGUAGGGAAUAUUGGACAAUGGUUGCAAGACUGAUCCAGCCAUGCCGCGUGCAGGAAGAAGGCCUUCUGGGUCGUAAACUGCUUUUUCCUGUGGAUAAAAUACCCGUGCGCGGGGAAUUGAAGGUAACAGGAGAAUAAGCCACGGCUAACUACGUG
Molecule: ribosomal RNA, 483 nt
Filed under: uncultured bacterium
Lineage: Bacteria
Description: partial 16S ribosomal RNA
Rfam family: Bacterial small subunit ribosomal RNA
Source: RNAcentral